RNAcentral lists this ribosomal RNA (253 nucleotides) under uncultured bacterium. Its description in RNAcentral is "partial 16S ribosomal RNA". It matches the Rfam family "Bacterial small subunit ribosomal RNA", at positions 524 to 776 of the family's 1533-position model. The record is from RNAcentral.
UACGGAGGGUGCGAGCGUUAAUCCGAAUCGCUGGGCGUAAAGCGCGCGUAGGCGGCUUUUCAAGUCAGGGGUGAAAUCCCACGGCCCAACCGUGGAACUGCCUUUGAAACUGUAGAGCUUGAGUGUCGGAGAGGGUGGCGGAAUUCCAGGUGUAGGAGUGAAAUCCGUAGAUAUCUGGAGGAACACCGGUGGCGAAGGCGGCCACCUGGACGACAACUGACGCUGAGGUGCGAAAGCGUGGGUAGCAAACAGG